GCUGGGUGCGGUGGCCUGUGCCUGUAGUCCCAGUUACUCUGGAGGCUGAGGUGGGAGGAUCGCUUGAGCCCAGGAGUUCUGAGCUGUAGUGCGCUCCACCGAUCAGGUGUCUGCACUAAGUUCGGCAUCAAUAUGGUGACCUCCCGGGAGUGGGGGACCACCAGGUUGCCUAAGGAGGGGUGAACCAGCCCAGGUGAGAAACGGAGCAGGUCAAAACUUCCAUGCUGCAUGCUGAUCAGUAGUGUGAUCCCACCUGUGAAUAGACACUGCACUCCAGCCUGGGCAACGUAGCAAGACCAGGUCCCU
RNAcentral lists this signal recognition particle RNA (306 nucleotides) under Cebus imitator (Panamanian white-faced capuchin). Its description in RNAcentral is "Metazoan signal recognition particle RNA (ENSCCAG00000009882.1)". It matches the Rfam family "Metazoan signal recognition particle RNA". Rfam says of the family: The signal recognition particle (SRP) is a universally conserved ribonucleoprotein. It is involved in the co-translational targeting of proteins to membranes. Lineage: Eukaryota; Metazoa; Chordata; Mammalia; Primates; Cebidae. The record is from RNAcentral.